This 953-nucleotide ribosomal RNA is filed under the name Fusarium pseudograminearum. RNAcentral's name for it is "partial 18S ribosomal RNA". The stretch from base 239 to 392 matches the Rfam family "5.8S ribosomal RNA". Lineage: Eukaryota; Fungi; Ascomycota; Sordariomycetes; Hypocreales; Nectriaceae. The record is from RNAcentral.
ACAAAACUAUGGUGUCUCAGGUUGUAGCUGGCUCCUCGGAGCAAUGUGCACGCCCGCCAUUUUUAUCUUUCCACCUGUGCACCGACUGUAGGUCUGGAUACCUCUCGCCGCAAGGCGGAUGCGAGGGUUGCUCGUAAAGGGCUCCCCUCGAACUUCCAGGCUCUACGUCUUUUUACACACCCCAAUAGUAUGAUGCAGAAUGUAGUCAAUGGGCUUCACAGCCUAUAAAACACUAUACAACUUUCAGCAACGGAUCUCUUGGCUCUCGCAUCGAUGAAGAACGCAGCGAAAUGCGAUAAGUAAUGUGAAUUGCAGAAUUCAGUGAAUCAUCGAAUCUUUGAACGCACCUUGCGCUCCUUGGUAUUCCGAGGAGCAUGCCUGUUUGAGUGUCAUUAAAUUCUCAACCUCACCCGUUUUCUGAACGGGGUCGAGGCUUGGAUGUGGGGGUUUGUGCAGGCUGCCUUCACUGGCGGUCUGCUCCCCUGAAAUGCAUUAGCGAGGUUCAUGCUGAACUUCCGUCUAUUGGUGUGAUAUUAUCUACGCCGUGACGAGAUCAGACUCGCUUCUAACCGUCCGCGAGGACAUACCUUGACAUUUGACCUCAAAUCAGUAGGACUACCCGCUGACUAGCAUAUCAUAGCCGGAGGAACGGAUCAUACGAUACUUAUGGUGUCUCAGUUGAACUUGAUCUCCGAGCCAUGGGACGCCCGCCAUUUUUUAUCUUUUCCUGUGACCCGAACUGUGAAGGUGAUACCUCUCUCGCUAGGGCGAUGGCAAGGUUGUCUCUAAGUCUCUGAAUUCCAGGCUCAGAGUGUUUAACCAUAGUAUGAUGAUGCAAGUGGAUCUAUGGUUCACUGCUUAAACAUAUACCUCGACAGGAAUCUUGUGUCUCGCAUGGAAGCGCGAAGGCUAUAUAGUGGCAUUGCCAAUGGAUGCAAUUGAGCCUGUCUCUG